Non-coding RNA from Paramuricea clavata, 357 nucleotides. The record is from the annotation of a GenBank genome assembly. NCBI's taxonomy places the organism in Eukaryota, Metazoa, Cnidaria, Anthozoa, Malacalcyonacea, Plexauridae.
UUUUCUUAAUAGAGAUUGUACUUAAUAUGGAUUCAUUAUAUAUCCUGAUGCUGAAUGAAAAGUUAUUAAUAAAAGCUUCCCAGGAGAAGGCAAGUUGUCUAAACAAGUGGCAAUAUAAUAUAUAAUCAUUAAUGGCAUUUUAAGUACUGUAUAGUCUAUUUGGAAAAUGUUAUUCUUUUGCUGGAGAGUAUGUUUAUGGAUUAACAAACCUGACAAGGAAUGGAGUUGCUGACUUGUGGUAUGAAGCUUGUACUUUUAAAUUUUAACUAAUGGACUUGUAUGACAUGCUUGAUUGAGCAGUGACACUACAUGCAGUACAGGUAUAUUAUACUAACUUGUAAAUAUUCUACAUUGAAG